AUGCAGGCGAGGCGGGAGAUCCGGACGAAGCCGGAGCAGCGGGGGGAGGAGGAUGCGGCGGCGGUGGCGGAGACGCCGCUGAGCGCGCGGUGGAGCCCGGAGGCGGAGAUCGGGAUGCGGGUGGAGGACAUCUGGGACAGCCUGGACCAGCCGCAGCUGAGCCGGAGCGACAAGCUCAACAGCUGCUUCGACGCCAUCCCGGUCUCCUCCUUCCCGCAGACCUUCGGGUCGCAGCUGGUGGACAUCCCCUCCGACGCCACGCUGGCCGAGGCCGUCGACAUCCUCUCCCGGAACCGCAUCAACGGCGCGCCGGUGCGCAACGUGGAGGCGCCCGAGGACGCCAGCUGGAUCGACCGCUACAUCGGCAUCGUGGAGUUCGCCGGGAUCGCCGUCUGGCUGCUGCACCAGUCGGAGACCUCGGCGGCCGCGCUGGGCGCCGACGAGGUGGCCGCCAAGCUCGGCACGGUGACCCUCGACCCGGAGCUGAAGCCGGCGGCGCCGGCGUCGGAGGCGGAGGGCGCGGUGGCGGAGGCGUUCGGGUCGCUGCCGUCGUCGGAGCUGUUCCGGAAGACCAAGGUGAAGGACAUCUCCGGGUCGUUCCGGUGGGCGCCGUUCCUGGCGCUGCAGAGCUCGGACACGUUCCUCACCAUGCUGCUGCUGCUGUCCAAGUACCGGAUGAAGAGCCUCCCCGUGGUGGACAUCGGCGAGGGCACCAUCAGCAACAUGGUGACGCAGGCGGCGGUGGUGCACAUGCUGGCCGAGUGCGUGGGGCUGAGCUGGUUCGAGGACUGGGGCACCAAGACGCUGGCCGAGCUGGGCCUCCCCCUCAUGAAGACCAGCCGGCUCGUCAAGGUCUGCGAGGACGACCCGGCGCUCAAGGCGUUCCGGCAGAUGAGGCGGCGCGGCGUCGGCGGCAUCCCGGUGGUGGACGGCGCCGGCAAGCCCGUGGGCAGCAUCAUGAUCAAGGACGUCAAGCACCUCCUCACGGCCUCCGAGUCCACCGGACACUACAGGACGCUGACGGCGAGGGAGUUCAUCGCGAGCGCGCGGCAGAGCUCGGGGGAGAAGCAGAUGAGCAUCAUCACGUGCAGGAGGGAGGACAACAUGAAGGAGAUCAUCCUGAAGCUGGACGCGGAGAAGAGGCAGAGGAUCUACGUGGUGGACGGGGAGGGCAACCUGGACGGCCUCAUCACGCUCAGGGACAUCAUCGCCAAGCUCGUCUACGAGCCGCCGGGAUACUUCGGGGACUUCUUCAACGGCGUCAUCCCCAUGCCGCAGAACAGCAGGGUCUGA
This 1293-nucleotide ribosomal RNA is filed under the name Triticum aestivum (bread wheat). RNAcentral's name for it is "partial small subunit ribosomal RNA". The record is from RNAcentral. Lineage: Eukaryota; Viridiplantae; Streptophyta; Magnoliopsida; Poales; Poaceae.